RNAcentral lists this ribosomal RNA (273 nucleotides) under uncultured Prevotella sp. Its description in RNAcentral is "partial 16S ribosomal RNA". It matches the Rfam family "Bacterial small subunit ribosomal RNA", at positions 83 to 355 of the family's 1533-position model. Lineage: Bacteria; Pseudomonadati; Bacteroidota; Bacteroidia; Bacteroidales; Prevotellaceae. The record is from RNAcentral.
CCUUGAUGACGACUGGCGCACGGGUGAGUAACGCGUAUCCAACCUUCCCAUAACUACGGGAUAACCCGUUGAAAGACGGCCUAAUACCGUAUGAUAUCGUUUGCUGACAUCAAAUAACGAUUAAAGGUUUAGCGGUUAUGGAUGGGGAUGCGUCUGAUUAGCUUGUUGGCGGGGUAACGGCCCACCAAGGCUACGAUCAGUAGGGGUUCUGAGAGGAAGGUCCCCCACAUUGGAACUGAGACACGGUCCAAACUCCUACGGGAGGCAGCAGCC